This 460-nucleotide ribosomal RNA is filed under the name uncultured bacterium. RNAcentral's name for it is "partial 16S ribosomal RNA". It matches the Rfam family "Bacterial small subunit ribosomal RNA", at positions 338 to 795 of the family's 1533-position model. The record is from RNAcentral.
CCUACGGGUGGCAGCAGUGAGGAAUAUUGGUCAAUGGACGAGAGUCUGAACCAGCCAAGUAGCGUGAAGGAUGACUGCCCUAUGGGUUGUAAACCUCUUUUAUAUGGGAAUAAUAUGUUCCACGUGUGGGAUGUUGUAUGUACCAUAUGAAUAAGCAUCGGCUAACUCCGUGCCAGCAGCCGCGGUAAUACGGAGGAUACGAGUGUUAUCCGGAUUUAUUGGGUUUAAAGGGUGCGUAGGUGGAUUUUUAAGUUGGUUGUUAAAGUUUGGGGCUCAACCGUCAAAUUGCCGUUGAAACUGGCAGACUUGAGUACAGUAGAGGUGGGCGGAAUUCGUGGAGUAGCGGUGAAAUGCUUAGAUAUCACGAAGAACUCCGAUUGCGAAGGCAGCUCACUAGACUGCAACUGACACUGAGGCUCGAGAGUGUGGGUAUCAAACAGGAUUAGAUACCCCUGUAGUC